AAGCAGGAUUCAGACUACAAUAUAGCUGUUAAGUGCUGUAUUGUCAUUCCCCCUGCUCAAAUUAAAGUUGUUUCUGAACUAUACCCAUCUGCUAUUCUGUAGCAGCCAGGGAUGCUUGGUCACAUACAU
This 129-nucleotide small nucleolar RNA is filed under the name Pongo abelii (Sumatran orangutan). RNAcentral's name for it is "Small nucleolar RNA SNORA63 (ENSPPYG00000028647.2)". It matches the Rfam family "Small nucleolar RNA SNORA63". Rfam says of the family: E3 belongs to the H/ACA class of snoRNAs and is involved in the processing of eukaryotic pre-rRNA and has regions of complementarity to 18S rRNA. Lineage: Eukaryota; Metazoa; Chordata; Mammalia; Primates; Hominidae. The record is from Rfam by way of RNAcentral.